RNAcentral lists this long non-coding RNA (375 nucleotides) under Fukomys damarensis (Damara mole-rat). RNAcentral's name for it is "lncRNA (ENSFDAG00000028092.1)". The record is from RNAcentral. Lineage: Eukaryota; Metazoa; Chordata; Mammalia; Rodentia; Bathyergidae.
UCCCUUCUUCCAUGUCAGGUUUACAGCUUCGCUGGUCGCAGGCUCAGUAAGGAUGAUGGACGGCGCUCUGCUCUCUCCAUCACGUGCGGCGCGGCUGAAGAGUGUCUUUGUGCUCACAGCCUGCAGUCCGUCGCCUCCGAUCCCUCCUCCCUCCGCACGCAGGGCGUCAUGUUAUCCGCGCCCAGAGCUUUGGGGAAGGCUCAUAUUCAGGAACAUGAGGCUCCCAGCCAAGGCGGGGGGAGCAGCAGAUCCAGCCGUAGGACCCUUGGGGAGGAGAGGCUCACCAGCUGCUGCCUCCCUGCCCCAGCCCGCUCCCUGCCUGUGAUUUCAAAGUGCUGAUUCUCUGUGGCCGCCUGCUUUAGUUAACACCUAACA